AUUGAACGCUGGCGGCAGGCCUAACACAUGCAAGUCGAACGGUAGCACAGAGAGCUUGCUCUCGGGUGACGAGUGGCGGACGGGUGAGUAAUGUCUGGGAAACUGCCCGAUGGAGGGGGAUAACUACUGGAAACGGUAGCUAAUACCGCAUAACGUCGCAAGACCAAAGUGGGGGACCUUCGGGCCUCAAACCAUCGGAUGGGCCCAGAUGGGAUUAGCUAGUAGGUGGGGUAAUGGCUCACCUAGGCGACGAUCCCUAGCUGGUCUGAGAGGAAUACCAGCCACACUGGAACUGAGACACGGUCCAGACUCCUACGGGAGGCAGCAGUGGGGAAUAUUGCACAAUGGGCGCAAGCCUAAUGCAGCCAUGCCGCGUGUAUGAAGAAGGCCUUCGGGUUGUAAAGUACUUUCAGCGGGGAGGAAGGCGGUGAAGUUAAUAGCUUCACCGAUUGACGUUACCCGCAGAAGAAGCACCGGCUAACUCCGUGCCAGCCGCCGCCGUAA
This 504-nucleotide ribosomal RNA is filed under the name uncultured bacterium. RNAcentral's name for it is "partial 16S ribosomal RNA". It matches the Rfam family "Bacterial small subunit ribosomal RNA", at positions 30 to 523 of the family's 1533-position model. The record is from RNAcentral.